UAGCCCCUACGUAGGGAAAGCUAACAUAAAAAUUUAGUGCUAGAUUCUAAAGCAAAAUGGCGGAAAAAAUCGAGAUGUUACUUAAAUGAGAAUGAUUUUAGCUUAUAUGAACGAUAAUAAUUGGAACAAGUAAAAUCUUUCCGGAAUACGUCACCGCGAUUGGUUUAUUCUACUACUAGAAGUUGUUUACGGGAUUCGAAAAGGCGAGACAAGAAGACUGCCGGUAUCCUGAAUUGGAUUUGGAAAGGGGCUAGGUAGAAUCUCCUAGGACAUGUGUGAUGGAACUGAAGCCCUUCCUAUUGAUAAAUCUACAGAUAUGUCUUCCAUUGCCUUUACCUCCAGUGGGAAUGUGGCGUUCAUUGAUGCAACCUGAUUCAUGGACAACCAUGUUGAUCCUGAAACUUUUAUGCAAUUGUUCUCAUCCAAGACCUUUGUCACAGGACAAACUGUCACAAAAAUCAACUAUUUUCCAGUUGAAUCAGGUGAGUGUCACAGCCCAAAAGCCUGCUUCUGCCACUCUUUUAUGACCCUGGAAUCAAAGAUCAAAGCUAAGGUCAUAUUCUUUUUGGUCUGUCUGUCGCAAAAAACUUUAACCUUGGUCAUAUAUUUUACACCAUUAGAGGUGGAACUUUCAGUUUGGUAUGUACGUCAGUACGUGUAUAUUUCUUGUGGCAAGACCUUUCCACUGACAACAAAACCUUUGACCUUGUGACCUUAUCAUUGACCUUUGAUCUGAUUCCACUUUGUUGUAAUCCAGGGGCAUCAACGUUUCACAAACACAUCUGGAUUUUUAGUAAAUUCAGGUGACCUAUUGCAAUUGGUUGUUUUCCGGCAACGUGUGUCGUACAACGUGCGUUGACAAUAACUACUGCUCCAAUUCUUUUCAAAUGGUAUGAAGCAUUUUUAGGACAAGGGGGACAUAAAUUGUAAAUUUCAGUACUCCUGCACCCCUGGGGCCUCGUGCAGGGCAAAUACUGCCAAAAAUUGACCAAUUUUCAAAAGUCUUUUCUACAACCAUACAUGUGCAAGAAAAACUAAAUACAUAGUGAUGUAAGGCCUUUACCAAAAUUGUAAAUUCCAUGAUCCAUGAGGUAGAGUUUCUGAGACCAGCGUGGGACCAAAACUAGUAUUGUAUAGUAUAUAUAUAAUAUAUAUGUGUGUGUAAAACAUUUAAAUAAUAUGGUCUUAAUUGGAGUAGUGAUACUUUUAACUAAUACUCAGGUUACCGAUAAGGCCUGUGGGCUUCUUGUUA
Molecule: long non-coding RNA, 1252 nt
Organism: Ostrea edulis (European flat oyster)
Lineage: Eukaryota; Metazoa; Mollusca; Bivalvia; Ostreida; Ostreidae
Exons: 3
Source: RefSeq, a predicted model, not a curated record